RNAcentral lists this ribosomal RNA (253 nucleotides) under uncultured bacterium. Its description in RNAcentral is "partial 16S ribosomal RNA". It matches the Rfam family "Bacterial small subunit ribosomal RNA", at positions 524 to 776 of the family's 1533-position model. The record is from RNAcentral.
UACGAAGGUCCCAAGCGUUGUUCGGAAUCACUGGGCGUAAAGGGAGCGUAGGCGGCGCGGUAAGUCAGAUGUGAAAUCCCGGGGCUCAACCCCGGAACUGCAUCCGAUACUGCCGUGCUAGAGUAAUGGAGGGGUAGCUGGAAUUAUCGGUGUAGCAGUGAAAUGCGUAGAUAUCGAUAGGAACACUCGUGGCGAAAGCGAGCUACUGGACAUUUACUGACGCUGAGGCUCGAAGGCUAGGGGAGCGAAAGGG